AGUGAACGCUGGCGGUAGGCCUAACACAUGCAAGUCGAACGGCAGCACAGUAAGAGCUUGCUCUUACGGGUGGCGAGUGGCGGACGGGUGAGGAAUACAUCGGAAUCUACUUUUUCGUGGGGGAUAACGUAGGGAAACUUACGCUAAUACCGCAUACGACCUACGGGUGAAAGCAGGGGAUCUUCGGACCUUGCGCGAUUGAAUGAGCCGAUGUCGGAUUAGCUAGUUGGCGGGGUAAAGGCCCACCAAGGCGACGAUCCGUAGCUGGUCUGAGAGGAUGAUCAGCCACACUGGAACUGAGACACGGUCCAGACUCCUACGGGAGGCAGCAGUGGGGAAUAUGGGACAAUGGGCGCAAGCCUGAUCCAGCCAUACCGCGUGGGUGAAGAAGGCCUUCGGGUUGUAAAGCCCUUUUGUUGGGAAAGAAAAGCAGCAGGUUAAUACCCCGCUGUUCUGACGGUACCCAAAGAAUAAGCACCGGCUAACUUCGG
This 491-nucleotide ribosomal RNA is filed under the name uncultured bacterium. Its description in RNAcentral is "partial 16S ribosomal RNA". It matches the Rfam family "Bacterial small subunit ribosomal RNA", at positions 29 to 506 of the family's 1533-position model. The record is from RNAcentral.